CUUACACAUGCAGUCGAGCGGGAUUAGCAGCAAUGCUAUGAGAGCGGCGCACGGGUGCGUAACGCGUAUGCAACCUGCCUUAUACAGGGGAAUAGCCCAUGGAAACGUGGAUUAACGUCCCAUAGGAUCACGGUAUCGCAUGGUAUUGUGAUUAAAACUGAGGUGGUAUAAGAUGGGCAUGCGUCUGAUUAGGUAGUUGGUGAGGUAAUGGCUCACCAAGCCGACGAUCAGUAGGGGUUCUAAGAGGAUUACCCCCCACACUGGUACUGAGACACGGACCAGACUCCUACGGGAGGCAGCAGUGAGGAAUAUUGGUCAAUGGCCGGAAGGCUGAACCAGCCAUCCCGCGUGCAGGAUGACGGCCCUAUGGGUUGUAAACUGCUUUUGUACCUGAAGAAACCUGUUUACGGGUAGACAGUUGCCGGUAAGGUAUGAAUAAGCAUCGGCUAACUCCGUGCCAGCAGCCGCGGUAAUACGGAGGAUGCAAGCGUUAUCCGGAUUCAUUGGGUUUAAAGGGUGCGCAGGUGGGGAAAUAAGUCAGUGGUGAAAUACUGCCGCUUAACGGUAGAAUUGCCAUUGAUACUGUUUUUCUUGAGUAUGGUUGAGGUAGGUGGAAUGUGUUGUGUAGCGGUGAAAUGCAUAGAUAUGACACAGAACGCCGAUUGCGAAGGCAGCUUACUAAGCCAUUACUGACGCUGAGGCACGUAAGCGUGGGGAUCAAACAGGAUUAGAUACCCUGGUAGUCCACGCCGUAAACGAUGAUCACUCGCUGUUUGCGAUAUACAGCAAGCGGCUGAGCGAAAGCAUUAAGUGAUCCACCU
Molecule: ribosomal RNA, 821 nt
Filed under: uncultured bacterium
Lineage: Bacteria
Description: bacterial SSU rRNA
Rfam family: Bacterial small subunit ribosomal RNA
Source: RNAcentral